RNAcentral lists this ribosomal RNA (346 nucleotides) under uncultured bacterium. RNAcentral describes it as "partial 16S ribosomal RNA". It matches the Rfam family "Bacterial small subunit ribosomal RNA", at positions 338 to 681 of the family's 1533-position model. The record is from RNAcentral.
CCUACGGGGGGCAGCAGUGAGGAAUAUUGGUCAAUGGCCGGAAGGCUGAACCAGCCAUGCCGCGUGAAGGGCAGGGACCUAUGGGCGUUAAACUUCUUUUGUGCGGGAGCAAGAAUGGUCACGUGUGGCCAGACGAGAGUACCGUACGAAGAAGCAGCGGCUAACUCCGUGCCAGCAGCCGCGGUAAUACGGGGGAUGCAAGCGUUAUCCGGAUUUAGUGGGUUUAAAGGGUGCGUAGGCUGUGAGGUAAGUCAGCGGUGAAAUGCCCCCGCUCAACGGGGUGAAGUGCCAUUGAUACUGCCUUGCUGGACUGCGGAUGCCGUGGGAGGACUGUGUGGUGUCGCGG